GCGAUGUAAGACUUGCCUUUGCUCCUCCUUCACCUUCUGCCAUGAUUAUGAGGCCUCCUCAGCCAUGUAGAACUGUAUGAUGUCACACCUAUAGUCCCAGCUACUUGGAAGGCUGAGGCAGGAGGAUCGCCUGAGCCCAGGAGUUCAAGUCCAGCCGGGGCAACAUGGUGAGAAGCCAUCUCUAAAUUUUUUUCAAAUAAAAAUAACAACAAAUUUAAUGUCUUCUAUCCUCAGACUAUAAAAAUCAUUCUUGAC
This 255-nucleotide long non-coding RNA is filed under the name Homo sapiens (human). Its description in RNAcentral is "LHRI_LNC780.1". The record is from RNAcentral. Lineage: Eukaryota; Metazoa; Chordata; Mammalia; Primates; Hominidae.